GACGAAGGUGGCGAGCGUUACUCGGAAUUACUAGGCGUAAAGCGUGAGCAGGCGGUUCGGUAAGUCCGUUGUGAAAGCCCCGGGCUCAACCCGGGGAGGCCAAGGGAUACUGCCGGACUUGAAUACGGGAGAGGUUACUGGAAUUCCUGGUGUAGCGGUGAAAUGCGUAGAUAUCAGGAGGAACACCGAAGGCGAAAGCAGGUAACUGGACCGUUAUUGACGCUGAGUCACGAAAGCCGGGGGAGCAAACAGG
This 253-nucleotide ribosomal RNA is filed under the name uncultured bacterium. Its description in RNAcentral is "partial 16S ribosomal RNA". It matches the Rfam family "Bacterial small subunit ribosomal RNA", at positions 524 to 776 of the family's 1533-position model. The record is from RNAcentral.